Molecule: long non-coding RNA, 5366 nt
Organism: Oncorhynchus keta (chum salmon)
Lineage: Eukaryota; Metazoa; Chordata; Actinopteri; Salmoniformes; Salmonidae
Exons: 3
Source: RefSeq, a predicted model, not a curated record
UAGGCUAAUGCGAUUAGCAUGAGGUUGAGCUAACGUAGGCUAACGCGAUUAGCAUGAAGGUUGAGCUAACGUAGGCUAAUGCGAUGAGCAUGAAGGUUGAGCUAACGUAGGCUAAUGCGAUUAGCAUGAGGUUGAGCUAACGCAGGCUAAUGCGAUGAGCAUGAAGGUUGAGCUAACGUAGGCUAAUGCGAUUAGCAUGAGGUUGAGCUAACGUAGGCUAACGCGAUUAGCAUGAAGGUUGAGCUAACGUAGGCUAAUGCGAUGAGCAUGAAGGUUGAGCUAACGUAGGCUAAUGCGAUGAGCAUGAAGGUUGAGCUAACGUAGGCUAAUGCGAUUAGCAUGAGGUUGAGCUAACGCAGGCUAACGCGAUUAGCAUGAAGGUUGAGCUAACGUAGGCUAAUGCGAUGAGCAUGAAGGUUGAGCUAACGUAGGCUAAUGCGAUUAGCAUGAGGUUGAGCUAACGUAGGCUAAUGCGAUGAGCAUGAAGGUUGAGCUAACGUAGGCUAACGCGAUUAGCAUGAGGUUGAGCUAACGUAGGCUAACGCGAUUAGCAUGAGGUUGAGCUAACGUAGGCUAACGCGAUUAGCAUGAGGUUGAGCUAACGUAGGCUAACGCGAUUAGCAUGAGGUUGAGCUAACGUAGGCUAAUGCGAUUAGCAUGAGGUUGAGCUAACGUAGGCUAACGCGAUUAGCAUGAGGUUGAGCUAACGUAGGCUAACGCGAUUAGCAUGAGGUUGAGCUAACGUAGGCUAACGCGAUUAGCAUGAAGGUUGAGCUAACGUAGGCUAAUGCGAUGAGCAUGAAGGUUGAGCUAACGUAGGCUAAUGCGAUUAGCAUGAGGUUGAGCUAACGCAGGCUAAUGCGAUGAGCAUGAAGGUUGAGCUAACGUAGGCUAAUGCGAUUAGCAUGAGGUUGAGCUAACGUAGGCUAACGCGAUGAGCAUGAAGGUUGAGCUAACGUAGGCUAAUGCGAUUAGCAUGAGGUUGAGCUAACGUAGGCUAAUGCGAUUAGCAUGAGGUUGUAAGUAACAAGAACAUUUCCCAGGACAUAGACAUACAUAUCUGUUAUGCUGUGAAAGUCCAAUUUACAGUAGCUAUUACAGUGAAAUAAUAACAUGCUAUUUGUUUUGAGGAGAGUGAACAAUUAUGAACUAGAACAUGUAUUCAUAAACCAAUUAGGCACAUUUGGUGGGGUAUUGAUACAGAAUUUUGAACAGAAAUGCAAUGGUUCAUUGGAUCAGUCUAAAACGUUUCACAUACACUGCUUCCAUCUAGUGGCCAAAAUCUAAAUUGCACCUGGACUGGAAUAAUACAUGAUGGCCUUUCUCUCUCAUUUCAACGAUGAUGGUACAAACAACAACAAAUAAUGUUUAUUAUCUUUUACAAGAUCUAAUGUGUUAUAAUUCUCCUACAUUAAUUUUACAUUUCCACAAACUUCAAAGUGUUUCCUUUUCAAAUGGUAUCAAUAAUAUGCAGAUCCUAGAUUCAGGUCCUGAGCUACAGACAGUCAGAUCCUAGAUUCAGGUCCUGAGCUAAAGACAGUCAGAUCCUUGAUUCAGGUCCUGAGCUAAAGACAGUUAGAUCCUAGAUUCAGGUCCUGAGCUACAGACAGUCAGAUCCUAGAUUCAGGUCCUGAGCUACAGACAGUUAGAUCCUAGAUUCAGGUCCUGAGCUACAGACAGUUAGAUCCUUGAUUCAUGUCCUGAGCUACAGACAGUUAGAUCCUUGAUUCAUGUCCUGAGCUACAGACAGUUAGAUCCUAGAUUCAGGUCCUGAGCUACAGACAGUCAGGUCCUGAGCUACAAACAGUUAGAUCCUUGAUUCAUGUCCUGAGCUACAGACAGUCAGAUCCUAGAUUCAGGUCCUGAGCUACAGACAGUUAGAUCCUAGAUUCAGGUCCUGAGCUACAGACAGUCAGAUCCUUGAUUCAGGUCCUGAGCUACAGACAGUCAGAUCCUUGAUUCAGGUCCUGAGCUACAGACAGUUAGAUCCUAGAUUCAGGUCCUGAGCUACAGACAGUUAGAUCCUUGAUUCAGGUCCUGAGCUACAGACAGUCAGGUCCUGAGCUACAGACAGUUAGAUCCUUGAUUCGGGUCCUGCGCUACAGACAGUUAGAUCCUUGAUUCAUGUCCUGAGCUACAGACAGUUAGAUCCUAGAUUCAGGUCCUGAGCUACAGACAGUCAGGUCCUGAGCUACAGACAGUUAGAUCCUUGAUUCAUGUCCUGAGCUACAGACAGUUAGAUCCUUGAUUCAUGUCCUGAGCUACAGACAGUUAGAUCCUGAGCUACAGACAGUCAGGUCCUGAGCUACAGACAGUUAGAUCCUUGAUUCAGGUCCUGAGCUACAGACAGUUAGAUCCUGAGCUACAGACAGUUAGAUCCUUGAUUCAUGUCCUGAGCUACAGACAGUCAGGUCCUGAGCUACAGACAGUCAGGUCCUGAGCUACAGACAGUUAGAUCCUGAGCUACAGACAGUUAGAUCCUGAGCUACAGACAGUUAGAUCCUGAGCUACAGACAGUUAGAUCCUGAGCUACAGACAGUUAGAUCCUGAGCUACAGACAGUUAGAUCCUGAGCUACAGACAGUCAGGUCCUGAGCUACAGACAGUCAGGUCCUGAGCUACAGACAGUUAGAUCCUGAGCUACAGACAGUUAGAUCCUGAGCUACAGACAGUUAGAUCCUGAGCUACAGACAGUUAGAUCCUGAGCUACAGACAGUCAGGUCCUGAGCUACAGACAGUUAGAUCCUUGAUUCAUGUCCUGAGCUACAGACAGUUAGAUCCUUGAUUCAUGUCCUGAGCUACAGACAGUUAGAUCCUGAGCUACAGACAGUCAGGUCCUGAGCUACAAACAGUUAGAUCCUUGAUUCAUGUCCUGAGCUACAGACAGUCAGAUCCUAGAUUCAGGUCCUGAGCUACAGACAGUUAGAUCCUAGAUUCAGGUCCUGAGCUACAGACAGUUAGAUCCUAGAUUCAGGUCCUGAGCUACAGACAGUUAGAUCCUUGAUUCAGGUCCUGAGCUACAGACAGUCAGGUCCUGAGCUACAGACAGUUAGAUCCUUGAUUCGGGUCCUGAGCUACAGACAGUUAGAUCCUUGAUUCAUGUCCUGAGCUACAGACAGUUAGAUCCUAGAUUCAGGUCCUGAGCUACAGACAGUCAGGUCCUGAGCUACAGACAGUUAGAUCCUUGAUUCAUGUCCUGAGCUACAGACAGUUAGAUCCUUGAUUCAUGUCCUGAGCUACAGACAGUUAGAUCCUGAGCUACAGACAGUCAGGUCCUGAGCUACAGACAGUUAGAUCCUUGAUUCAGGUCCUGAGCUACAGACAGUUAGAUCCUGAGCUACAGACAGUUAGAUCCUUGAUUCAUGUCCUGAGCUACAGACAGUCAGGUCCUGAGCUACAGACAGUCAGGUCCUGAGCUACAGACAGUUAGAUCCUGAGCUACAGACAGUUAGAUCCUGAGCUACAGACAGUUAGAUCCUGAGCUACAGACAGUUAGAUCCUGAGCUACAGACAGUCAGGUCCUGAGCUACAGACAGUCAGGUCCUGAGCUACAGACAGUUAGAUCCUGAGCUACAGACAGUUAGAUCCUGAGCUACAGACAGUUAGAUCCUGAGCUACAGACAGUUAGAUCCUGAGCUACAGACAGUUAGAUCCUUGAUUCAUGUCCUGAGCUACAGACAGUCAGGUCCUGAGCUACAGACAGUCAGGUCCUGAGCUACAGACAGUUAGAUCCUGAGCUACAGACAGUUAGAUCCUGAGCUACAGACAGUUAGAUCCUGAGCUACAGACAGUCAGGUCCUGAGCUACAGACAGUCAGGUCCUGAGCUACAGACAGUUAGAUCCUGAGCUACAGACAGUUAGAUCCUGAGCUACAGACAGUUAGAUCCUGAGCUACAGACAGUUAGAUCCUGAGCUACAGACAGUUAGAUCCUUGAUUCAUGUCCUGAGCUACAGACAGUCAGGUCCUGAGCUACAGACAGUCAGGUCCUGAGCUACAGACAGUUAGAUCCUGAGCUACAGACAGUUAGGUCCUGAGCUACAGACAGUUAGAUCCUUGAUUCAGGUCCUGAGCUACAGACAGUCAGGUCCUGAGCUACAGACAGUUAGAUCCUGAGCUACAGACAGUUAGGUCCUGAGCUACAGACAGUCAGGUCCUGAGCUACAGACAGUUAGAUCCUGAGCUACAGACAGUUAGAUCCUGAGCUACAGACAGUUAGAUCCUGAGCUACAGACAGUCAGGUCCUAGAUUCAGACGGGGGGGGAAACAGGCGGAUUUGUCUGGAUUUGAUCAGAGUUUUGAUCGAAACUCGAUUCUGAUCCUACCUGAUUCUACCUGAUCCUGCCUGAUCCUACCUGAUCCUACCUGAAUCUACCUGAUCCUGCCUGAUUCUACCUGAUCCUACCUGAAUCUACCUGAUCCUGCCUGAUUCUACCUGAUCCUACCUGAUCCUGCCUGAUCCUACCUGAAUCUACCAGAUCCUGCCUGAUCCUGCCCGAUCCUACCUGAAUCUACCUGAUCCUGCCUGAUCCAACCUGAUCCAACCUGAUCCUACCUGAAUCUACCUGAUCCUACCUGAAUCUACCUGAUCCAACCUGAUCCUGGUCAUAUGGACAGUGCUCUGAUGCUGGUCAUAGGGACAGUGCUCUGAUGCUGGUCAUAGGGACAGUGCUCUGAUGCUGGUCAUAGGGACAGUGCUCUGAUGCUGGUCAUAGGGACAGUGCUCUGAUGCUGGUCAUUGGGACAGUGCUCUGAUGCUGGUCAUUGGGACAGUGUCUGAUGCUGGUCAUAAGGACAGUGCUCUGAUGCUGGUCAUAGGGACAGUGCUCUGAUGCUGGUCAUAGGGACAGUGCUCUGAUGCUGGUCAUAGGGACAGUGCUCUGAUGCUGGUCAUAGGGACAGUGCUCUGAUGCUGGUCAUUGGGACAGUGCUCUGAUGCUGGUCAUAGGGACAGUGCUCUGAUGCUGGUCAUUGGGACAGUGCUCUGAUGCUGGUCAUAGGGACAGUGCUCUGAUGCUGGUCAUUGGGACAGUGCUCUGAUGCUGGUCAUAGGGACAGUGCUCUGAUGCUGGUCAUUGGGACAGUGCUCUGAUGCUGGUCAUAGGGACAGUGCUCUGAUGCUGGUCAUAGGGACAGUGCUCUGAUGCUGGUCACUGGGACAGUGCUCUGAUGCUGGUCAUUGGGACAGUGUCUGAUGCUGGUCACUGGGACAGUGCUCUGAUGCUGGUCAUUGGGACAGUGUCUGAUGCUGGUCACUGGGACAGUGUCUGAUGCUGGUCAUAGGGACAGUGCUCUGAUGCUGGUCAUUGGGACAGUGCUCUGAUGCUGGUCAUAGGGACAGUGCUCUGAUGCUGGUCUGAUAACUCUGU